Long non-coding RNA from Herpailurus yagouaroundi (jaguarundi), 606 nucleotides. RefSeq lists it as uncharacterized. NCBI's taxonomy places the organism in Eukaryota, Metazoa, Chordata, Mammalia, Carnivora, Felidae. The transcript is spliced from 3 exons. The record is from RefSeq and is a predicted model, not a curated record.
GUGGUGGCGACAGCAGGGCUGAGUCCGGCAGCCGGGCUGGGACAGGUUGGGACUGCUGGGACCCAGGACGGUCGAGGAGGCACGAGUGGAAGGUGUGGGACGGGCAGAAAUCCUGACCGACCGGCUCCAGGCACCUGCCCUGUGUGUAUCCCAACUCCACCCUGGCACUGGAGGAACACCAGGGAUGCCACUGAGGGAACCCUAAGGCAAAGAGGAGGCCACUGAAGAGAAGACAGUGAAAACAGGGUUGGCAAGAAGACACAUGGAAACCGACUAGAGGAGAGGCUGAACUUGGUGAUGCAUCAGGCAGGGAGGGGCCUUGGGGAAUGGGGACUGAGACUCCAGGACCUGGCAGGGAGCUCUCCACACCCACAGUGACCUUUCCCUGUCUAGCUCCAAACCCCUGACCUGGCAGAGGGUCUGUCCCCACCUCUAACACCCGCAAAGGACACACAAGUAAAAAUCAAAAUCCCAGGCAGGCAGGUCAGCCAAAGGGCUUUGUUGAGGGGCUGUAUGUAUCACCAUGAACAUGGGAAGGGGCAGGGCCCUAAGGGACCGGAUGUGUGUGAACAUUUCCCAGGGAACCAGAAAAGUACCUUGUCAGUC